GUCAUCUAUGCCCUCUAACCGCCAUUAUCCCCCCUUCCCCAUCAUCCGCUUUCCCUUUAAACAGCUUUCCUCCCCUGUCACCGCCGUCUUCCCGCCCACCAAAGCCGGAACAAGCCUUCGCCCAGCAGCUCCUGGACGGCCCCGCGCCGAGCUGAGCUGAGCUGAGCCGAGCCCCGCUAAGCUUCACAGCCGCGCAUCUGUCGAAGAUAAAGCCGCGCUUCAGCCGCCGCCGCUGCCGCCACCUUCUCCUUCUUCCUCCCCGGCCGCCGCCAUCGCCCCCUCACACCGAGGGGCACCGCUGAUUGGCCGCCGGUCGCUAGGCGGGAAGGCGUCCCCUCAGCUGCGCGCUGUAGCUAAGGGAGAGGCGGCCAGGGAUUGAAGGACGCUGCUGUCCCACCGCCUCCAUGUCCCGCCCUCGCUGUGAGGCGAGCAGCGCAGUGAUUGGCUGGGAGGCGGGAGCGGGCGAGGUUAUAAAAGGGGCGGUGCAGGGCGGGAGGUAUUUUCCCGGCGGCGGCGUCAGGGGUGGACUCAGGGGCGGAAGGAGCAGAAGCAGCAGCGGCGGCGGGCGAGCUUUAUGCCUGUUUUAUUUCACUGCAAUCCAGUUUAAUGGAGCUGGAGCGACUGCACCGGGCCCGGCCCACGCCCCAGGAUGGACCUGAGACCCACAGCCACCCCCACACUGUUCCUUGGCGAUCCUGUGACACCCCAUAGAUAUGCCACAGACACACACCCCCCCAGCCCCGUAGUGCCCUAUAGGCCCACAACACGUGUCCCCCAGCUUUUAUUGACUCCUGGCGUCAUGAUGUCACCAGGACCGCGAUGACAUCGUCAGCAUCAUCAAUGACACAGUGCCCCAUAGGGCCCCCACUACCCCCCGCAACCCCUUUAUGCCUGUUUUAUUUCACUGCAGUCCAGUUUAAUGGAGCUGGAGCGACUGCACGGGGCCUGGCCCACGCCCCAGGAUGGACCUGAGCCCCCCGCGAAGCUUUAUGCUUGUUUUAUUUCACUGCAAUCCAGUUUAAUGGAGCUGGAGCGACUGCACCGGGCCCGGCCCACGCCCCAGGAUGGACCUGAGCCCCCUGAGAAGGGGAGACCCACAGCCACCCUCAGACUGCCCCAUGGCUACCGAGUGACACCCUUAGAUAACCCACAGCGCCCCAUAGACACCCCCCUUCUGCUCAUCCCCAUAGUGCCUUGUAGACCCACAACAUGUGUUCCCCAGCUUUUAUUGACUCCUGGCAUCCUGAUGUCACCACGACCUUGAUGACAUCAUCAGCAUCAUCAAUUACCCAGUGCCCUUUAGGGCCCCCACUACCCAUCUGCAACCCAUAAAUUGUAAUUUACUUCAUAAUUUUGUCUGUUUUA
Molecule: long non-coding RNA, 1365 nt
Filed under: Strigops habroptila (Kakapo)
Lineage: Eukaryota; Metazoa; Chordata; Aves; Psittaciformes; Psittacidae
Description: lncRNA (ENSSHBG00005018409.1)
Source: RNAcentral